UUUUGGUUACAUAACUAAUAUGAUAAACUCAUUCAUGGAGACACUCCUCUUCUCUUUCCAAGGUAUGCUCCAAAAGAAGGAGUUGAUAUUGUUGCUGAAGGGAUGAGAUGAGACUGGAGCAAGCCUGGGUGGGUUAUGGGCUCCACAUGUAAGAUAUACCCAUAUCUCAAAUGAACACAUGUUUGUCCUCUUGGAGUUUCAGGUGCAGGAGUGCACGUGUAUGUCUUCUCGGAGUUUCACGUGCAGGAGUGCAUGCACAAGAGUUAGCCGAUUUUGUAUCCGUUGAGUCUUGUUAUCCCUCAUUGUGUGGUUGCAUAACUCAUAGAGAAUUUGAGAGUCAAUACUGGAGUGUCGUUGCAGGACAUUCCAGGAUUAUGUCUCCUGUCGACUAUCUGAUUGAAGUGGUGCUGGUUUACCACAUUCGUGAAAUACAAAUGGAAGAGGAGGCAAGUGGAGUAGUUUUAGGAAAGGGAGGUGAUACUCAGAAGUGAAAACAUACAAUCAUCCAAUGAGACAAAGUCAGCUUGCUUGCGAGGGUGUCUCGGCCGCUGCGGUGGGAAGUUGCAUGCUGCUGGGCAGGAAUCUGCAAGAUCCUGGGACAAGUCAUUCAGAAAAUAUAGUAGGAGAACUACACAUUAGGAGAAACUAUAGAGGAACAUUGUAGGUACUUGUUUUAUAAGUUGCUGUCUAGAUUCUGAAGCAGGCUUUCCCUUUUGUCUGUUGAUCAAUGGGAAACUAAAUGUCCCUUUUGUCUGUU
Molecule: long non-coding RNA, 757 nt
Organism: Syzygium oleosum
Lineage: Eukaryota; Viridiplantae; Streptophyta; Magnoliopsida; Myrtales; Myrtaceae
Exons: 2
Source: RefSeq, a predicted model, not a curated record